This 635-nucleotide ribosomal RNA is filed under the name Throscidae sp. UPOL RK0175. RNAcentral describes it as "eukaryotic LSU rRNA". It matches the Rfam family "Eukaryotic large subunit ribosomal RNA", at positions 670 to 1259 of the family's 3401-position model. The record is from RNAcentral. Lineage: Eukaryota; Metazoa; Arthropoda; Insecta; Coleoptera; Throscidae.
GGAGUCUAGCAUGUGCGCGCGUCAUUGGGAUUGCACUAAACCUAAAGGCGAAAUGAAAGUGAAGGAUCGCUCGCGCGUUCCGAGGGAGGAUGGGUCGAGUCACGGCUCGGCCCCGCACUCCCGGGGCGUCUCGUUCUCAUCGCGAGAUGAGGCGCACCCAGAGCGUACACGCUGGGACCCGAAAGAUGGUGAACUAUGCCUGGUCAGGACGAAGUCAGGGGAAACCCUGAUGGAGGUCCGUAGAGCUUCUGACGUGCAAAUCGAUCUUCGGAACUGGGUAUAGGGGCGAAAGACUAAUCGAACCAUCUAGUAGCUGGUUCCCUCCGAAGUUUCCCUCAGGAUAGCUGGCGCUCGCUUUCGCGAGUCUCAUCCGGUAAAGCGAAUGAUUAGAGGCAUUGGGGUCGAAACGGCCUCAACCUAUUCUCAAACUUUAAAUGGGUGAGAUCUCCGGCUUGCUUAAACGCUUGCGUGGUGAAGCCGCGAGAUCGGAUCAGAGUGCCAAGUGGGCCACUUUUGGUAAGCAGAACUGGCGCUGUGGGAUGAACCAAACGCAGAGUUAAAGCGCCGAAAUCGACGCUUAUGGGAUACCAUGAAAGGCGUUGGUAACUUAAGACAGCAGGUCGGUGGCCAUGGAA